Molecule: ribosomal RNA, 532 nt
Filed under: Aspergillus nomiae
Lineage: Eukaryota; Fungi; Ascomycota; Eurotiomycetes; Eurotiales; Aspergillaceae
Description: eukaryotic LSU rRNA
Rfam family: 5.8S ribosomal RNA (bases 164-317)
Source: RNAcentral
GCGAGCCCACCUCCCACCCGUGUUUACUGUACCUUAGUUGCUUCGGCGGGCCCGCCAUUCAUGGCCGCCGGGGGCUCUCAGCCCCGGGCCCGCGCCCGCCGGAGACACCACGAACUCUGUCUGAUCUAGUGAAGUCUGAGUUGAUUGUAUCGCAAUCAGUUAAAACUUUCAACAAUGGAUCUCUUGGUUCCGGCAUCGAUGAAGAACGCAGCGAAAUGCGAUAACUAGUGUGAAUUGCAGAAUUCCGUGAAUCAUCGAGUCUUUGAACGCACAUUGCGCCCCCUGGUAUUCCGGGGGGCAUGCCUGUCCGAGCGUCAUUGCUGCCCAUCAAGCACGGCUUGUGUGUUGGGUCGUCGUCCCCUCUCCGGGGGGGACGGGCCCCAAAGGCAGCGGCGGCACCGCGUCCGAUCCUCGAGCGUAUGGGGCUUUGUCACCCGCUCUGUAGGCCCGGCCGGCGCUUGCCGAACGCAAAUCAAUCUUUUUCCAGGUUGACCUCGGAUCAGGUAGGGAUACCCGCUGAACUUAAGCAUAU